CUUAGAACCACCUACCACCGCUACCAACAACUACUGCAGCACCACCAGAAAAAGAAUUCCCCAUAUGGGCGGCGGUCGUCAUUGCACUUGGCAUUGGCGGUUUGAUUGCAUUGUUGCUGUUCCUAGUGUGGAGAAAACGUCGGCAGGCCGAAAAUCUCGCACAAGAUGCAGAAGGAGGAAAUACCGGAAAUCCAGAGGGAGAAGAAGCUGAAGGAGGAGGCGAUGACGCAGAAGAGGAGGAAGCCACAAAUGCCGAAAGCGCCGAAAAGUCAGAAGACGCAGAGGGUGGAGAAGAAGCACCAGAGGAGGAGUAAAGAACCGGAUUUAUAACAA
Molecule: long non-coding RNA, 333 nt
Organism: Pomacea canaliculata
Lineage: Eukaryota; Metazoa; Mollusca; Gastropoda; Architaenioglossa; Ampullariidae
Exons: 8
Source: RefSeq, a predicted model, not a curated record